This 3216-nucleotide long non-coding RNA is filed under the name Zea mays. RNAcentral describes it as "long non-coding RNA (ZMAY_LNC001688)". Lineage: Eukaryota; Viridiplantae; Streptophyta; Magnoliopsida; Poales; Poaceae. The record is from RNAcentral.
ACAUUUUACUAUAUAACAGGAGUUCUAUACAAAAUAAAUAUUUACAUUAUAAGGAGACAACGGUCUAGCAACUCAAAGUUGACUGGGAGACGACGGCCUAGAUCUCUCACGAACUCAUCGCAGCAUCCUCCAUGCGCCUCAUCCUGCGGUACCUAUUCUUGACCUGUGGGGGGUGUGAGACAGCAAGAGUGAGCUCACAUACGUUCAUCGCUCAACAAGUUGUGGGGAAUAAUGUGCAUGAACUCGCCAAAGGUGGGAGCUCACGUGAAGUGUAAGGCUUACCAAAGAGGAUGGUUAGAGCUGAGCAUUGCUUUUAAAGUUGGAUAAAAUUUUAUUAGCAGUUACUAAGUAUAAGUAAAUACCGACCCAAUUAAUUAGUAGAACAAAGUAACAACAUCACCCGCAAUGCAAUGCAUAUGACAAAUUGAAUUUAAGUUCCAUAAUUUAAUCAUCAGAGAGUCCUGAGCUGCUCAUGACCGUGAGCUCGGCUAGUAUACCAGUUUUACACUCUACAGAGGUGGUACCCUUUACCCACAAGUCAUGUUACCCAUCUGCCAAGGGAUCGCGACUUCCCAUACACCUCUACCGAGGAGGCGAGGCAGGGUAACACUACGAGGCCUUUACAAAGUUCCACUAGCUUCAGAAAACCCGCUACAGUUUAUAGGAAGCUCCAAUGCAGGGUUCUUGCCUGACCGCCAUCGCAGCAAAAUCAACCAAGGACCUCCCUACACUGACCACUCCCCUACUGCCCUUGCCCCUUUCGGGUAAGGUAAUCCUCCACUAGCUUUCCUAAUUAAUCAGCCAAGGGCGUCCAUAAACCCUUGUGGUGGCACGUGUUUCUCAAGUUAAGCUCUAUGUUCCAAUUAACAUUAAUGAUCUUGACAUGAACAGUAAAUAACAACAGAUAACAAAAGUAUAAUCAUGAAUAAUGUGUAUCUCAAUGCCCAAAACCACAUAUAGCACUAGCAAGUACUACCCAAAAAGUUCAGUGGUAAACAAGGCAUAAAGAUAGACAAACUAGGGAACCUAUUAGGUCCCUUCAAAAUUAACUUAUGCAGAUCAUUAUGAUUAAUUAGAACAUGAGUGGGUAAAAGAAGUGAUCAAGGGCACAACUUGCCUGGGACUUGAGAUUCCAGGUACCAGGAUGAUCUUCAGGUGACUCGUAACCUCGCGCUAGUCGUAGCAAUACAAACAAGCAUGGUAUAGGCAAAAUUAACAUCACACCAAACAUAAUAAUAAACCACAUAAUAAUAAUUUACGCUGCGUAACAAGAUCAUAGAAAUAAGAACCACUAAAUUCGGAGCUACAGUUAUGAAGUUAUGGUUUUCCGAAGAUCAACGUGGUUAAAUAUAACAUAGACUAAGUGCAACAUUUUAAUCUAUAUUUCAUGACUAAACAAAGUUAUAAGAUGAUAAUAAAUAUUAUUGUGAGACUAAUGCAACUAGAAUGGGUCAAAACUGAGUUACAGUUAUUGAGUUAUGAAUUUCUGGAGUUAUUAAGUACAUGGUAUAUAUUAAUUCAGAUGAACAAUUUUAAUUCAUGUUUCAUGGCUAAACAGUGUUCCUAGUUGAUAGACAAUAUUAGCACAAAAUUAUUGCAACUGGAAUAUACCAAAAAGAAGUUAAAAUGAAUUUAAUAUGAAUUAAACAAGUUUCUAACAUUAAUUUAAUACCAAAAACCUAUUUCCUAUAUUGAUUUAUUCCCUUUUAUUUGCUGACUGGACUGGGGACACUAUUCUUCAGAAGAUCAGGGUCUAAUCUAUAAAUUUUAGGACUUAAUCGUGAUGUUUCUUCACUGGAUGUGGACUGCGGGUUGACUUAAGAAAAAUGCAGGGGUUCUUUUAUAAUUUAGCCGUGGCCAAGGGGGUAUGCGCCAAUCUAAUUCAGACCAUCGAUCCGCAAUUCGACGGUCAGAUCCAAAGACCGCCAAUGCAUUUGAACUUCUAAUCGGCUCCGUUCACUUCUCAUCCAACGACAACCGGCGCUUCUUCUCUCUACCGCUCGAUCUCGCAUCAGCGAUUACUGGUUGUCUUCUAAUCAAUCUGCAGCCGCAUGAUGUGGAUCGAACGGCAGGAGCUCAUCCUCCCCACCUGAAUCAUCGCACGACAGCUACUGUACCCCGGACGCGGCGGAGCGCCAUGACCGGAACUCACGCCCCGACGACCAAGGUACAAUUCCUAAACGCAUUCGGCCCUAAUUGAAACCGAAACAAUUAUGGAGCAAAGGGUGGGGCCAUACCGUGAUUUAUAGAGGCACGAAAUCCCAACGCCGAGCUCCCAGGUUCACGGGCGGACGACGGUGAUCCGGUGUAAAAUUCGUUGGCACCGGACGCACCUAACCCGACGUCGAUGCCGCGGAAGCUAUCACCGAGCCGAAGCGAAGCUCCCCGACCGACGACGACCCUCAAACGGCGGUGCUUUCCACUGGCGUCAGACUUCCGCCCACCGCGCCCCGCAAUCCGUCCACCAGACUCUCCUCUCCGAUGGCUUAUGGGUGGUGCUAGGGAACGAGUCAAUCGGUCGAGACGGCCCAAGGGUUCUAUAUAUACAGCAAUGGCCGAGGCAACGGUAUGGCCGAAUUCCUCGGCGAAUUCUGCGCGGCGGGUAUGGAGAUCCCCCAACGACCAUGGUGAGCUGCACGGGGGAGAAGUCCAUCAGACGAGGCGGAGUCCGCGGGGUUGUUGCCCUGUCGCAACGGUCGCAGCGGAAUUCACGGGAUUCGAUACGGGGCUUCGCCGCGUGCGCGAGCCGCCAUUGCGAAGAACAGACGAAGGUGACUGCAGACCGAGCGGGCCAGCUGUUCGGUGACCAGGCGAGACGUGUUUGCGGGGCGGCACCGUGUUGAGCGAGCGCGGGAGCUGUGCCUGUGGAUCCAUAUCCAUCCUUCGAGCGCUAGCUGCCUGCGGUGCGGAGUCCCUCCGUCCGUCCGUGCCUCCCUCCGAUGUCCAGGCGGCCAGCAGAGGAAACGUGAGCAGACAAGCCAGCGUGGGGUAAGGAGGAAGAAGAAAAAAGAAAAAAAAAUAGUAAAUGGGCCGCGGAGGUAGCUGGGCCAAAGGGAGGUUCGGGUCCGAGAGUGUGUUUUCCUUUUUAUUUUUCUCUUCUAUUUCAAGGUUCUCGUUUCAGAUUCAAUUUAAAUUCAAAACUCCCAAUUCAAAUUUCAAAUUUCCCACGUGUCGAAAUUAAUACUACUGAGAAUAUAACCUCUACUAUGUUCAAUU